AACGAACGCUGGCGGCAUGCCUAACACAUGCAAGUCGAACGAGACCUUCGGGUCUAGUGGCGCACGGGUGCGUAACGCGUGGGAACCUGCCCUUAGGUUCGGCAUAACUCCCCGAAAGGGGUGCUAAUACCGGAUCAUGUCUUCGGACCAAAGAUUUAUCGCCUUUGGAUGGGCCCGCGUUGGAUUAGCUAGUUGGUAGGGUAAAAGCCUACCAAGGCGACGAUCCAUAGCUGGUCUGAGAGGAUGAUCAGCCACACUGGGACUGAGACACGGCCCAGACUCCUACGGGAGGCAGCAGUGGGGAAUAUUGGACAAUGGGCGAAAGCCUGAUCCAGCAAUGCCGCGUGAGUGAUGAAGGCCUUAGGGUUGUAAAGCGCUUUUACCCGGGAUGAUAAUGACAGUACCGGGAGAAUAAGCUCCGGCUAACUCCGUG
This 433-nucleotide ribosomal RNA is filed under the name uncultured bacterium. RNAcentral's name for it is "partial 16S ribosomal RNA". It matches the Rfam family "Bacterial small subunit ribosomal RNA", at positions 29 to 507 of the family's 1533-position model. The record is from RNAcentral.